RNAcentral lists this ribosomal RNA (465 nucleotides) under Vreelandella stevensii. Its description in RNAcentral is "partial 16S ribosomal RNA". It matches the Rfam family "Bacterial small subunit ribosomal RNA", at positions 338 to 795 of the family's 1533-position model. The record is from RNAcentral. Lineage: Bacteria; Pseudomonadati; Pseudomonadota; Gammaproteobacteria; Oceanospirillales; Halomonadaceae.
CCUACGGGUGGCUGCAGUGGGGAAUAUUGGACAAUGGGCGAAAGCCUGAUCCAGCCAUGCCGCAUGUGUGAAGAAGGCCUUCGGGUUGUAAAGCACUUUCAGUGGGGAAGAAAGCCUUGGGGCUAAUACCCUCGAGGAAGGACAUCACCCACAGAAGAAGCACCGGCUAACUCCGUGCCAGCAGCCGCGGUAAUACGGAGGGUGCGAGCGUUAAUCGGAAUUACUGGGCGUAAAGCGCGCGUAGGCGGUCUGAUAAGCCGGUUGUGAAAGCCCCGGGCUCAACCUGGGAACGGCAUCCGGAACUGUCAGGCUAGAGUGCAGGAGAGGAAGGUAGAAUUCCCGGUGUAGCGGUGAAAUGCGUAGAGAUCGGGAGGAAUACCAGUGGCGAAGGCGGCCUUCUGGACUGACACUGACGCUGAGGUGCGAAAGCGUGGGUAGCAAACAGGAUUAGAUACCCGAGUAUUC